RNAcentral lists this ribosomal RNA (483 nucleotides) under uncultured bacterium. RNAcentral describes it as "partial 16S ribosomal RNA". It matches the Rfam family "Bacterial small subunit ribosomal RNA", at positions 29 to 506 of the family's 1533-position model. The record is from RNAcentral.
AUUGAACGCUGGCGGCAUGCUUUACACAUGCAAGUCGAACGGCAGCGCGGGCUUCGGCCUGGCGGCGAGUGGCGAACGGGUGAGUAAUACAUCGGAACGUGCCCAGUAGUGGGGGAUAGCUCGGCGAAAGCCGGAUUAAUACCGCAUACGACCUGAGGGUGAAAGCGGGGGAUCUUCGGACCUCGCGCUAUUGGAGCGGCCGAUGGCAGAUUAGCUAGUUGGUGGGGUAAAGGCCUACCAAGGCGACGAUCUGUAGCUGGUCUGAGAGGACGACCAGCCACACUGGGACUGAGACACGGCCCAGACUCCUACGGGAGGCAGCAGUGGGGAAUUUUGGACAAUGGGCGAAAGCCUGAUCCAGCAAUGCCGCGUGUGUGAUGAAGGCCUUCGGGUUGUAAAGCACUUUUGGCGGGAACGAAAAGGACUGUGCCAAUACCACGGUUCGAUGACGGUACCCGCAGAGUAAGCACCGGCUAACUACGU